UGCCUUGGAGAUUAAACAUCACCCGAAAAUAAAGGAUAUCUUAUCUUUAUCCUGAUAAUGUGUUGGACUCCAGAUAUCUCAAGUCUUAUCAGUAUGGAGCGAGAAACUAUUGCAUCAGGAUGGGGGCCACUGAGAGCACGCCCGCGGAGAGCAAGCCGGAGAAAGUUAUUAUAUCGAUUGAGGAUCUCCGAAGGAAAAUUGAAAGUCUUCAGACCGAGAGAAAUAAUGCGCAGGUAA
Penaeus vannamei (Pacific white shrimp) is the source of this 237-nucleotide non-coding RNA. The record is from RefSeq and is a predicted model, not a curated record. Lineage: Eukaryota; Metazoa; Arthropoda; Malacostraca; Decapoda; Penaeidae.